RNAcentral lists this microRNA precursor (168 nucleotides) under Hordeum vulgare. RNAcentral's name for it is "microRNA MIR2118". It matches the Rfam family "MIR2118 microRNA precursor family". The record is from RNAcentral. Lineage: Eukaryota; Viridiplantae; Streptophyta; Magnoliopsida; Poales; Poaceae.
GUGAGUAGGGAAAAGAAAGCCAUGAGUAUCUCAGAGCAGUGGGCAUGGGAACAUGGAGGAAAGCCAAUACUUCUUGGCCUCUAAAUUUAGGGGCCGAAAUUAUUUUGCAUUUUCCUGAUGCCUCCCAUGCCUAUUGUUCUUAGGUAUUCCUUCCCUUUCCUAUUUUCU